Molecule: ribosomal RNA, 460 nt
Filed under: uncultured bacterium
Lineage: Bacteria
Description: partial 16S ribosomal RNA
Rfam family: Bacterial small subunit ribosomal RNA
Source: RNAcentral
CCUACGGUAGGCUGCAGUGAGGAAUAUUGGUCAAUGGACGAGAGUCUGAACCAGCCAAGUAGCGUGAAGGAUGACUGCCCUAUGGGUUAUAAACUUCUUUUAUAUGGGAAUAAAAUGUUCCACGUGUGGGCUUUUGUAUGUACCAUUUGAAUAAGGAUCGGCUAACUCCGUGCCAGCAGCCGCGGUAAUACGGAGGAUCCGAGCGUUAUCCGGAUUUAUUGGGUUUAAAGGGAGCGUAGGUGGAUUCUUAAGUCAGUUGUUAAAGUUUGCGGCUCAAACGUAACAUUGCAGUGGAAACUGGCAGUCUGGAGUACAGUAGAGGUAGGCGGAAUUCGUGGUGUAGCGGUGAAAUGCUUAGAUAUCACGAAGAACUCCGAUUGCGAAGGCAGCUCACUGGACUGAAACUGACACUGAGGCUCGAAAGUGAGGGUAUCAAACAGGAUUAGAUACCCCUGUAGUC